RNAcentral lists this long non-coding RNA (332 nucleotides) under Sorghum bicolor (sorghum). RNAcentral describes it as "long non-coding RNA (SBIC_LNC010831)". Lineage: Eukaryota; Viridiplantae; Streptophyta; Magnoliopsida; Poales; Poaceae. The record is from RNAcentral.
GCGUUGUUUACUUUAUGCUAUCAUUUUUGUAUGAGACUAUGUGAUAUAUUAUGUUCCGCUAUGUAAUAAACACUGCAAUGGUACAUUUGAGAUUUGUCUACUUAUGUGUGCGACUGUUUCUGGGGCACAUGUGAGUCUUUUAUGCAUCCUAUUUUGUUCUUAAAAUAUGGGUGUGACAUAGAUUGUGACUUAGUAGAUAGUAGAUACUUAGAAUCCAUUCUCAAGCUAAUCCGACGUCACCUUACGUUUAUAUGGAGUAGUCUAUUUCUAAUCGCUGUGUUAUUUACCCUUGAGCUUAUAUUUUAUUAUCUUUAUUAUUAUGGCUUACCCCC